RNAcentral lists this ribosomal RNA (253 nucleotides) under uncultured bacterium. RNAcentral's name for it is "partial 16S ribosomal RNA". It matches the Rfam family "Bacterial small subunit ribosomal RNA", at positions 524 to 776 of the family's 1533-position model. The record is from RNAcentral.
UACGGAGGGUGCAAGCGUUAAUCGGAAUUACUGGGCGUAAAGCGCGCGUAGGCGGUUUGUUAAGUCGGAUGUGAAAUCCCCGGGCUCAACCUGGGCAUUGCAUUCGAUACUGGCAGGCUAGAGUAUGGUAGAGGGAAGUGGAAUUCCAGGUGUAGCGGUGAAAUGCGUAGAUAUCUGGAGGAACAUCAGUGGCGAAGGCGGCUUCCUGGACCAAUACUGACGCUGAGGUGCGAAAGCGUGGGGAGCAAACAGG